AGUUUGAUUCUGGCUCAGGAUGAACGCUGGCGGCGUGCUUAACACAUGCAAGUCGAACGGAGUUUUUAAACGGAAGUUUUCGGAUGGAAGUUUAGAAACUUAGUGGCGGACGGGUGAGUAACGCGUGGGUAACCUGCCUCAUACAGGGGGAUAACAGUUAGGAAUGACUGCUAACACCGCAUAAUAUAGCGAAACCGCAUGAUUUUUGCUAUCAAAUAUUUAUAGGUAUGAGAUGGGCCCGCGUCUGAUUAGCUAGUUGGUGGGGUAAAAGCCUACCAAGGCGACGAUCAGUAGCCGGCUUGAGAGAGUGACCGGCCACAUUGGGACUGAGACACGGCCCAAACUCCUACGGGAGGCAGCAGUGGGGAAUAUUGGACAAUGGGGGAAACCCUGAUCCAGCGAACCGCCGCGUGAGUGAAGAAGUAUUUCGGUAUGUAAAGCUCUAUCAGCAGGGAAGAUAACUGACCAGUACCUGACUAAGAAGCCCGGCUACUACGUGCCAGCAGCCGC
RNAcentral lists this ribosomal RNA (510 nucleotides) under uncultured bacterium. RNAcentral's name for it is "bacterial SSU rRNA". It matches the Rfam family "Bacterial small subunit ribosomal RNA", at positions 10 to 518 of the family's 1533-position model. The record is from RNAcentral.